CCGGUAAACGGCGGCCGUAACUAUAACGGUCCUAAGGUAGCGAAAUUCCUUGUCGGGUAAGUUCCGACCUGCACGAAUGGCGUAAUGAUGGCCAGGCUGUCUCCACCCGAGACUCAGUGAAAUUGAACUCGCUGUGAAGAUGCAGUGUACCCGCGGCAAGACGGAAAGACCCCGUGAACCUUUACUAUAGCUUGACACUGAACAUUGAGCCUUGAUGUGUAGGAUAGGUGGGAGGCUUUGAAGUGUGGACGCCAGUCUGCAUGGAGCCGGCCUUGAAAUACCACCCUUUAAUGUUUGAUGUUCUAACGUUGGCCCCUGACCGGGGUUGCGGACAGUGUCUGGUGGGUAGUUUGACUGGGGCGGUCUCCUCCUAAAGAGUAACGGAGGAGCACGAAGGUUGGCUAAUCCUGGUCGGACAUCAGGAGGUUAGUGCAAUGGCAUAAGCCAGCUUGACUGCGAGCGUGACGGCGCGAGCAGGUGCGAAAGCAGGUCAUAGUGAUCCGGUGGUUCUGAAUGGAAGGGCCAUCGCUCAACGGAUAAAAGGUACUCCGGGGAUAACAGGCUGAUACCGCCCAAGAGUUCAUAUCGACGGCGGUGUUUGGCACCUCGAUGUCGGCUCAUCACAUCCUGGGGCUGAAGUAGGUCCCAAGGGUAUGGCUGUUCGCCAUUUAAAGUGGUACGCGAGCUGGGUUUAGAACGUCGUGAGACAGUUCGGUCCCUAUCUGCCGUGGGCGCUGGAGAACUGAGGGGGGCUGCUCCUAGUACGAGAGGACCGGAGUGGACGCAUCACUGGUGUUCGGGUUGUCAUGCCAAUGGCACUGCCCGGUAGCUAAAUGCGGAAGAGAUAAGUGCUGAAAGCAUCUAAGCACGAAACUUGCCCCGAGAUGAGUUCUCCCUGACUCCUUGAGAGUCCUGAAGGAACGUUGAAGACGACGACGUUGAUAGGCCGGGUGUGUAAGCGCAGCGAUGCGUUGAGCUAACCGGUACUAAUGAACCGUGAGGCUUAACCUU
This 1011-nucleotide ribosomal RNA is filed under the name Escherichia coli. RNAcentral's name for it is "partial 23S ribosomal RNA". It matches the Rfam family "Bacterial large subunit ribosomal RNA", at positions 1920 to 2925 of the family's 2925-position model. Lineage: Bacteria; Pseudomonadati; Pseudomonadota; Gammaproteobacteria; Enterobacterales; Enterobacteriaceae. The record is from RNAcentral.